UGGCAUGUAUACCGAGCACCAGCGAAGAGCAAAGAUGGCGGCCACCAUGAACGCAGAAAGUACAAAACAGCCGGUGAUAACACCCACAGAAAAUCGCGAUGCAAUGGCUGCUGGGAUGUUAGAACUAUUGAAACCGGCAGUACAGGAAGUAGAUGAAAGGGUGCGGCUAGUGAGAGAAAGUCAGCUAGAUCUCAGACAGCAGAUUGAAGAACUUGAUGAAGUUUUGAAGCAGCUGGGUCAGGCACGUGAACCUCCCAUUGAGCUUGAUCCCUACGUGAAGAAGCUGAUGAACUCCAAACGCAAGAUAGCCGUCAUCAGCAACAUCGUUCAGAAUGCUCAGGAGAGGGUGCGUAAACUUCAGCAGCGCAUCGGCAAGGAGUCAGGGAAGAAACUGAGCCACUUGUACCCAUCCAGCACCGAUGCCGUUACCCUUCCAGCUGGCAUGGUUGGUGCUACGCUACCUCCCCCCGAGGUCCAACCGGCAGAGAAUACUUAAUCAUAUUGUUGAUUUUAAUGUUUGUUUUCUGAUGCUGUAUAUAUUAUAAAUAAAAAAAAAUUGCCAUUUCUGAAAUCUUGGGUUAAGCUUCGUCUUCUUAAUUGUAGGUCAUAAUUUUAGGUCCCUGCACUGUUACAGAAACACCAGACUCUCUACAUGUAGAACAUGAAUGUUUUUCAUAUUUGUAAACAUUAAAGAGAACACAGUGUUUCUGGGGCCAAGGUUGAAGCCUUAGCUGAAGCUAAGGUUUUAGAAAUGGCAAAUAAGUCUAAACAAGUUGUGUACAAAUGGAAGGUUAAAUUUGGUUUGUUGUCAGUUACUUUGCAAAUUGUGGGCACAGUUUAUGAAGCUGCUAUGUGCCCUUCUAAAUUCAGGACGAGCUCUGGAUACGUUGCGGGUAGAAUCAUUCACUUUGUUCGGAAGAAGCUCUGCAUUUGUCCCGGACAUGUUUCUGGAAUUUUUCAUCAGCGACUGCUUGACUCACCAAUACUUAUGUACAUGUAACUUCAUUGUGGGAAGAUUGGGGAGUUGUUCAGAAUCUUGCAACUUAUACCUGAUACAAUGCCUGCAACUUGUCCUGAAUAUGAAUUGAGACGAGUCCCAAGUAUGGAUAUCCGCUUAGCACAGAAGAUGACAUGCUUAGCAUCUUAUCUUUAACUAGGUUUUACAGGCGCUUUACAUUCCUCUGAAUGGGCAAAAACAAAUUGACUGCAAUGGUACAAAUGAAAACAAAAACAACACAAAAGACUCAUCUGAGUUAUUCAAAUCAAUAGCAUCACAUUUCUUUAAUUUUUUUAGAAGUUUAAAGUAAAAAAAGGUAAAUAUGUUUUAAAAUAAAUCAUCUUGGUUUCAUCUCUCAUUUGUUUUAUAAUUUAUAUCGUAUAUUUGUUUACAGAGUUCCUCUAUCUGUAAAGGAAAUUGUUGAUUUUUUGUUUUGGUUUAAAAUAUGUAUACUAUUUUUAAAGUGCAAUAACAUGCUAAAAUAAAAUGAAUGAAACUAAAA
Molecule: unclassified non-coding RNA, 1499 nt
Filed under: Patiria miniata (bat star)
Lineage: Eukaryota; Metazoa; Echinodermata; Asteroidea; Valvatida; Asterinidae
Description: sNARE-associated protein Snapin-like, transcript variant X3
Source: RNAcentral